UACGUAGGGUGCAAGCGUUAAUCGAAAUUACUGGGCGUAAAGCGUGCGCAGGCGGCUUUGCAAGACAGAUGUGAAAUCCCCGGGCUUAACCUGGGAACUGCAUUUGUGACUGCAUGGCUGGAGUGCGGCAGAGGGGGAUGGAAUUCCGCGUGUAGCAGUGAAAUGCGUAGAUAUCAGGAGGAAUACCGAUGGCGAAGGCAGGUCUCUGGGCUGACACUGACGCUCAUGCACGAAAGCGUGGGGAGCGAACAGG
This 253-nucleotide ribosomal RNA is filed under the name uncultured bacterium. RNAcentral describes it as "partial 16S ribosomal RNA". It matches the Rfam family "Bacterial small subunit ribosomal RNA", at positions 524 to 776 of the family's 1533-position model. The record is from RNAcentral.